RNAcentral lists this long non-coding RNA (252 nucleotides) under Lathyrus oleraceus (garden pea). RNAcentral describes it as "Pisum sativum (pea) long non-coding RNA (PSAT_LNC004794)". Lineage: Eukaryota; Viridiplantae; Streptophyta; Magnoliopsida; Fabales; Fabaceae. The record is from RNAcentral.
UUUCUCUCAUGAAAAAAUCACGAAAAUAGAAAAAGCACAUGGCCAUAAAUAGUGAUAGGAGAGAGAUGUAGGUGAAGAAUCAUUAAAUAAUUUGUGUAAGGUAACUCCGGUAUAAUCACAAGGGAUAAUGGUUCAAAGCAUAGCUACCUAACAUUUCGAUUAAACUUUGCAUUAUCCUUACUAAGGUUAAGUUCAAAUCGAAAGAUACUUAACUAUAUUAAUAAUCUCUGUUUCUCUUUUAUGGAAUCGAUC